GCCUGGAUAGCCUUGUGAGUAAGGUGUUCGACUCGAAGUCGUUCACCCCGGGUUCAAGUCCCGGUUGGGGCG
This 72-nucleotide transfer RNA is filed under the name Fasciola gigantica. It matches the Rfam family "tRNA". From Rfam's summary of the family: Transfer RNA (tRNA) molecules are approximately 80 nucleotides in length. Their secondary structure includes four short double-helical elements and three loops (D, anti-codon, and T loops). The record is from Rfam by way of RNAcentral. Lineage: Eukaryota; Metazoa; Platyhelminthes; Trematoda; Plagiorchiida; Fasciolidae.